ACAAACAUAUCAUAUCAAAUUUAUGAGCAUACUCUGUUAAAAACAACACAUCCAGUCAAGGAAAAAUUAAAGUUACUUUAAGUUUAAUUGCAAAAUAAGCUCGUUAUUCAUAACUUCAUACAACUUUGAUAUUCAUUCUGGUAGUCUUCCAAAACUGGGUUGCUACUUGAAUAAUAAACAAACUCAAAUAUCUCAUUAACUUAUCCCGAAAGUAGCUUCGCUACAGUCAUUGAGUUACUACGUACUAGAGAAGACCACUUAAUAUUGCAUCGCGUUCAACUGUGGCGAUAUCGCCGCAUUUCACAGUUUCUUGUAACUUACUAUAUUAAGCGAAACGCUUAAGCGUCACGUAAUUCAAAUUUACCACGUUUUGGUCGCUAGAAAACAAUCUAAACUAAUAUUAUAAUUGCAAAAGUAAGUUUGUCUGUCUGUCUGUUACCUUUUCACGGCUAAACCGUUGAACCGAUUUGAAAGAAAUUUGGAAUAAGUGGAGAACUUAGGCUACUUUUUUCCCAGAAUAAUUCACGGACUAAAAAAAACAGAGCUUACACAAACGAAGUUGCGGGCGUCCGCUAGUCUAUAAGUCAUCUAGCGCUGAAUAUUGAAUUUUAAUAAAGACUUAAUUAACCUCUAAUAGGCCGCAUAGACUACUUUAGUAUUUUAGUCGAGUACGAACAAUUUUUGGAUUUACCGCCCAAAAAUUACUCGACUAAAAUACUAAAGCAGCUCCAGCAUAACUCGUACUUCAAUUAGACGCUGCGCUGUUUUUAUGUUGCGACAUGUUUUUUGUUUGGAACAGCUUCUCUAGAACGUAAUACAUAGUAACUCAAUGGUUUCAGUAUGUAUUUUUUGUUUAUCUGUCCGCGGAGUCACUUCGUUAACUGUUGUUUGUGUUCAACAAAAUGAAUGGAAAAAGAGGAAAAAGUAAAAAGCGGAAGUGGGAAGUUUUCACGAUCUAAUUAGUAUUUUUCAUUUGCAGUACUCACUUGAACUUUUUAUUCGUUUAAGUGGAACAACGAUCAGUGGAGUGAAAAUCUAUACGUUUUCCAAUUGCUAUUGUUAAGCGUCGUGUUAGUAGUGGUUUUCUCUUUGUGAGAAGAUCAUUGAUUUCAAUAAAGAACCCCAAUUUAAGUAAAACAAGGGAAAGAAUUUAACUGCCUUUUAAUAAUGAAACCUUCUAUAUAAAAUAAUAGCAGACGCCCGCGACUUUGUCUGAUCUUAAACUUCGGACCUCUCGCAAAAUCAAUUCCAUUCAUAACAAAUGUCUAUCAAAAAACUACCUCCCUGUCAAAUUUCAACUUUGUACGUCAAACGGUUUCGAUAUUUCAUGAUGGACGGACCUUCCGCGUUUAAAUUUAAAGAUGUAUUUAAAUGAUGAAAUCCAAUUAAAGUAGUUAUUACAGAACAAAGAAAACGCUUACGUUGUUCGAGUAGUUAAUACAUGUUGAUGUUUUCAUUCAUCAGAUGUUUUGAUCCACGUAUCAAAUCAUAAUUUUUGUCAUACCAGAAUAGACGAAAUAAUUUUAUAAUAGGUUCCCGUAUUUAUAGGCAAGUACCCUAAUACGUAGGUAAUAUUAAUGGUUAGUACCUACAUUGGAAUCCGUUUUGUUUGCAGACUUUCUUUGUGUAGCACAAGAAAAAGUAAAAAGAAAGUAGAGUGGGAAGUUUGCUACAUCUACUUAAUUAGUUUUAUUCUUUGAUGAUUUAUUAUUUCUUUCGUAAGCCAUGUUCUGAUUAACUUCCUUGUUUGCUAUGGUUUGUGGUUCGGCUUCGAAUAAUGAAGUCCAAGGUUUAAACUGGAUGAAGCCAACAAAGAAAACGUUAUCUAGUUUUCUUACAAGAACUUCUUUUCAGUUAUUUGCGCAAGGUUUUAAACUAGGAGACACUAUAUGUAUCUUACAAAUUGUACAAAAUGUAAAACUCCUUCUCCAAUACAAGUUCGUAAUAAGUAAUAAGUACAGUAUAGAGUAGACAACGCAUUUUAGAAUCUAUUAGGAGUACGCCGUAAAAUACUAGAAAACCGGUGUUAGCUCACUCACAGAGUAAACAAAUCCGUCGAUUCAGUUCGACUAAGAUGUGUACCCUCUCUACAUUUUCCUUAUUCUAGGGAUUUUAGUAGGAAUUUUUAUUUUCAUCAGAAAAAUAUAACGCUAAGAGGCUUUUACGGACCCGACUAAUCUUUUCAACGUUCUUAGAAGUUCUCUUUAAACCUUUAAAUUGAAUGUUAUUUUCUUGUAGGUUUCGUCUUAUAUUUUCUAACUUGUCUAUUGUCGCCAAUUUUGUCUACAAAAUGGGGUGUAUUUAAAUUGUUUUUGAGUAUUAGUUUCUUCGUAACCUGUAAAUCGGGUAAAAAUUAAGAACCGAAAUAUAGACGAUUUUUUUUUUUAAUUUUGACAGACCGACCCAGGAAAUGAACCAAGUAGGUGGUACAUCAUGGUACCUAGCUCACUAUAUUAGCUGACUAUUUGCUAUAUAUUUUGCUAUUAUGCUAUUUGAGAGCCGUGAUAGCCCAGUAGAUAUACCUCUGUCUCCGAAUCCGGAGGAUGGGGUUUCGAAUCCGGUCCGGGGCAUGCACCUCUAACUUUUCAGUUGUGAGCAAUUUAAGAAAUAAAAUAUCACGUGUUUCAAACGGUGAAAGAAAACAUCGUGAGGAAACCUGCAUAUCAGAGAAUUUUCUUAAUUUUCUGAGUGUGUGAAGUCUGCCAAUCCGCAUUAGGCCAGCGUGGUGGACUAUCGGCCUAACCUCUCUCAUUCUGAGAGGAGACUCGAGCUCAACAGUGAGCCGAAAAUGGGUUGGUAACGAUGCUAUUUGGCGUAGUAUUAUGCAGAAGGCAACGUUAAAUCUCUAUAAUACUUGUACAUAAGCCUUCUACGACUAUAUUCGGGUAUGGUUCCGUUCAACCAAAGUUGUAACAACUUUAGUUAUCACAUGAAUUCAUAAACGCACCUGUGAAUGUCGGUGUUAACAAUGUUCUAUUUAUAUUAUUAGGUCGGACGAAUGCAAUGGGUAGGGGUCUACAGCAUCGUGGUUUCGAUUUCCACAACUGGAAAAGUGUGAAGAACAUGUAUGUUUUACAUUGUUCAUUCAGUAAGUAGAAAUAGUAAUAUAUGGGGAUAUAUGACAUCGAAACGCGUUAAACAAACCGAUUUGUUGGUAAACAGGUUUCGUUAUCCGCCUCCCUUUGUAACACACUAAUAAGUUAAAAUUUAAGGCGGAAUUAUAUUUGUCUGACGUGUCGUGUCGUGACGCAUCGAUCAGCCAUCACGACAUGUCACAACACAUAAGUGUAAACGUCAAUAUACAAAAUGUAUGAUACCGAUUCUGAUCUGAUGCGUCACCCCUAAUAAUUUAAAAAUUUAUUAAGUUCUGUUUUUCUGACAUUGCUUUAAUUUACACACACACAAUAAAUAGAACCUAAACCCACCGUGCCACUGCACCACUGAUUACUGCCGAACCGCUGUGCACCUCAAUAUUACUAACUCAAGCAAAACGUUCAUCAUAAAUUAAAAUAUCUACCUGCUUUUAAUCAAACCUAGUUAGUUUUAAUUAGUUCUUAAUAAUUGUCUUUAAUAGUUUACGUAAAGUGUUGAACUGUGUGCGUGGCGGCACCUGAACUGGGUCCUAACUGAAAAUCAGUGCUGCAUACUUUUUUUAUUGAAAGUAUGCGGCAAAAUGCUGAGUUGGGGCCUUUUUCUAGGUUGUGCCACAUAUUACAGGGAAUUCUUUAGUGCUCCACUGUUUGAGUGGACAGUUAAGCCAUAAUCUAUACUAAUAUUAUAAAGAGGUAAAGUUUGUUAGUUUGUCAAUUUGUCACAUUCUUUAAAUGGGGUAAUCUUCGGAACUACUGGUCCGAUUUCAAACAUUUCACCAGUAGAGUGCUACAUUAUCGGGGAGUGCUAUAGGCUAUAUUUUAUAUAGGUAUUAUAUAUAUUAGCUGAGUUAUCACAGUUUUUGUCAUACAGGUCGGACCGAAAAUCCUCUUAAACAGACUUAUUCGCAUGCGCUGCCUUAACUAUUGUGUAAAAUUGAAAUUAAUGUAUGGAGGCUUUAUGUAUCUUUAAAAGUUCUACAAAAAAGUCCGCGACACCAUAUCUCUAUCUUCUAUAUAUUAGCAGAUAUAGUACCUUUUGUGUUUUAAAAAUUAUUAAUUUUAUAUACUUUGUUUUACGUCAUUAUUUAUGCAACUAAACUUUAAUCCUUAUUAAAAUAAAUUACUUAAUAAUCACAAGGAUAUUAUGGAGAUAAGAUUUGCCCUUUACAGUAUGUUAAUUACUUAAAUAGUUUCGGAGAUAAUACAAAAUUUCUAAAAGACGCAGAAAUUCCGCUAUAUGACGCCCCGCGCGUUAGUGGUAGGGUAGGGUAGGGGUAGGGUAGGGGUAGUAGUAAAGUUGACAUCGAAUUUUACGCGGACGAAGUCGCGGGCGUCCGCUAGUAUGUUAUAAUUUAGAUUUAAUGUGAUAUGUGGCAUUACUUAAAAAUAAAGAUCUUUCUUCUCCUUCUUCUUUUUAAAAAAUAUUUAAAUUGUGUGGAACAAUUUUUGGCCAGUCGUAAACGGGAGAUGUAAUAGCGCAAUCACGUCCAAUGGAACGAUCCUAACAAUUUGAGCGCGGAAAUCGAUUUGUCAGAGGCGUGAAAAUUUUGCACAAAAUGCGCGCUGAAAAAUCGUCCGGCGGCUCCCUGACGCUAUUUGUCAAGGUCACAAGGCCCUAGGUCCACGAUUCAUGGGAAAUCGAUGUAGAAUUCUGAAAUUCCAUUUGGUUACAUUUGGUAAGAUUCAAUAAUUCGAGUUUUUUUUUUAAGUAUGCAAGUACUUAGAACCUCUUUGUUUAUGUUCUCUGUUUUGACUGUCACUAUUAUCGGUUCAGCAGUGCUAUUGCUAUUCGAUAUUCGUAUUUAUCUCUCUCAAUCUCUCUGUGAUUUGUUUUACAGAAAGCGAAAUAGAGUCAUUGUGAAGAGCUGAAUAACAGACUCAAUAGUUUUACUUUUAAAAUAUUUUCAAUUUUUAAUAAUCUUUUUUAAAUUUAAGUUUUAACGAGAGCAGCGCAGCGUAUUAGCAGCCAGUAUAUCUUAACAUUUACUAAUACGUCGUUUAAUUAAGACAAAAACUGGUCCAAUUACUUGCAAGUAAAAUAGGAAAAUUCAAUAAGGAAUUAAUCAAUAUGAAUUUUAAACUAUUUAAGUGCCAAAUUUCAAUUCAAUGUCAUUCUUUGUCGUGAUUAGGAAAAAAAUAUGCCAGAAUUUAAACAUUCAGAAAAAAACUUUCAUAAUUGUAAAUUAGCCGGAUAGCAACAUUAACCCGGCAAGUUUGUAUUUGAGUACGAUCUCAUCUAAUGUCGAUGCAAUCGUUAUUGAAAAUCUUGAAAUGUAAAUGUCCUUAUCUGUUUCUUGGCAAAAUAAUGAUACCAGAACAGCAAAUCCUAUCACAUACAUCGUCUAAAUAUAGAGGUCUGCAACUAUGAAGAGGUUUCCACUGUGUUUGUUAUGUAAUAUAUUCUGAACUUAACCUAACCUAUAUACGUGACCUAAUGUAAUCACACUUCUUCUUAAUACAACCACGUUAUUAUGUAGAAACGUAGAUUGGUUGUAGACAUUUGAAACGCCGGUUCUGAAACCUUUGGUCAUUCUUGGAACAUUUUUAUGGAACCUGAGUUGACUAUUACAUUUAAUCAUUUGCACGCGUCGAGUAGCAUGCUGUUAGCGGCGUAAAUCUUGGAGGUUCGCUGGCCGCCAGACAAAAUGACGGACGGAUGAAUGCAACAGCAAGGUCAGCGACCGCGUGGUGUCAGCUUCCAUCAUAAACGUCAGGUCGUACCUAUUCUUUCUUUUGUUAAAUGGAGUCAUGCUAAAACUACUAUUUUUAUAUAUUGUUUUUUUUAAAAGGAUGCGUUACAUUAAUUGUUGGUGGUGAUUCGGAUAUACCGUUCAGAUUACAAUAAGAUUUAGAGAUAACUAGACCUCUUUCGUGAGUGUUUAAAAUGCAACGUGUUUGUUGUCCCUUUAGUAUAAACGUGUGUAAUUGCUAAGCGAACUUAAAUGGAAUCAUCCUUGUGGAUUUGGCUGGUAGCGAUGUGAAUUCAUAACUUCUAGUGCGUUGUUCGACGGACCCACUUUAAAUACCUAGCCGUGGCAGUGGUUUGGUCAACAAAAAUCCAAACGCUAUAUCGACACCAUCUAAUCCCCAAGGAUUGGUAUAAUAAAACAAAUAUUUGAGAUAACCACUGUUUAUUUACAAAGUAUGUACAAAGUAACUUAACAUUUAGGAAACCUGGUUUUUUUAUGUAAUUUAACCCAUUAAUAUUUUGUCCUUUUAGGGUUUCUCAAGGGUUUAGCAUUACUUUUAUAUUGUAAAAAAAAGGUUCAUCUAAAAAUAUAGAAGCCAAAUACCGGUGAUUACUGUAAAAGUGUUUUUUUGUUUACUUAACCCCGCAUCCUCCUACGGGUAUAGAUCCGAAAGCCAGAAUCUCGGUGGUAACAUUUGAGAUUCUGGUCUACAAGCUGUAUGUUUGGCUGGUGACGCACUAGAAAUUUCAUCCAAAUCGUUUCACAAAAACCGGCACAAACUACAAGGCUUGCAGUGGCGCCUGGGGAUUUUUUUAUUAAUCCUAAAGGAUCUGUACAACGUGGGAGAGAAAAGGGAAUAAUAGAAUCAUCCGAACACCACUCUAACAAUAUUUUUUUUGUUUUCUGUUCCAAUUUCUAUUACUAUAAGAUUUUGUUUCAGCAUAAGCUUAAUAUAAAAUAACCCAUGAUCAUUUUUUUUGUGAUGGUGUAUUUGGCAUAGUUAGUUAUGUUUAUAGAGAAAUUUAAUUACUGAAUUUUUAGUUAUUAUUGUUAUUUUAAGUAACUCAAUAUUAAUUUAAUGUUUUAAAAAAUAGUUGUACCAUCACCAAUAAAUAAUGUCAGGUCAUAAGGAAAUACAGUUUCACUCUUUGAGGAAGGAUGAGCUGGUAUACGAGGUCUCGAUCAGAUCCGAGACUCCGGGUAGUACUGUAGAUGAGCUUAGGAGGCAGAUGCGAGGCCUCAUGAUUGAGUGCCCCUCGACUGCCAUAUUAGAAACAAAUAUAGACAGCAACACCGAAUUAGUAAUAAUUAAUGAUAAGUUAAAUGAACUAGCCACAAUUAUUGAAGGAUGGGGAAAAUCAGGUGAUAGGGGAUCUAUAGCAAGGGCAGAGGCCCUAGCCUAUCACCUGUUUCAUAGAGUAAACAGAUUGAAGGUCGACGAAUCAGCUAAGGUUUCAGCCAAGGUCGGGGAGGCCAGACUGAGAUUAGGAAAAUUUAUUGCAAUCAUUGAAGCGUCUGGAAAAAAUGUUUCAGAACAAUUGUCUACAUCUUCUAAGCCGUCACCUUCAGCGGAGGCUUCGGAAAUAGAGUGCUCCGGGGACAAAAACCUGGCGAAGUGGAACCUAAAAUUUAAUGGCUCCACCGAUCCGCGCUCCUUCGUCGAACGAGUGGAGGAGCUUCAGCUUUGCUACGGUGUCUCUGAGGCUAAACUCUUCAGGUCGGCGGUUCAGCUGUUUGAAGAUCAGGCACUACUCUGGUACAGAGGUAUCAGAGAUCAGGAUGGGAAUGUAAUAUAUUCUGAACUUAACCUAACCUAUAUACGUGACCUAAUGUAAUCACACUUCUUCUUAAUACAACCACGUUAUUAUGUAGAAACGUAGAUUGGUUGUAGACAUUUGAAACGCCGGUUCUGAAACCUUUGGUCAUUCUUGGAACAUUUUUAUGGAACCUGAGUUGACUAUUACAUUUAAUCAUUUGCACGCGUCGAGUAGCAUGCUGUUAGCGGCGUAAAUCUUGGAGGUUCGCUGGCCGCCAGACAAAAUGACGGACGGAUGAAUGCAACAGCAAGGUCAGCGACCGCGUGGUGUCAGCUUCCAUCAUAAACGUCAGGUCGUACCUAUUCUUUCUUUUGUUAAAUGGAGUCAUGCUAAAACUACUAUUUUUAUAUAUUGUUUUUUUUAAAAGGAUGCGUUACAUUAAUUGUUGGUGGUGAUUCGGAUAUACCGUUCAGAUUACAAUAAGAUUUAGAGAUAACUAGACCUCUUUCGUGAGUGUUUAAAAUGCAACGUGUUUGUUGUCCCUUUAGUAUAAACGUGUGUAAUUGCUAAGCGAACUUAAAUGGAAUCAUCCUUGUGGAUUUGGCUGGUAGCGAUGUGAAUUCAUAACUUCUAGUGCGUUGUUCGACGGACCCACUUUAAAUACCUAGCCGUGGCAGUGGUUUGGUCAACAAAAAUCCAAACGCUAUAUCGACACCAUCUAAUCCCCAAGGAUUGGUAUAAUAAAACAAAUAUUUGAGAUAACCACUGUUUAUUUACAAAGUAUGUACAAAGUAACUUAACAUUUAGGAAACCUGGUUUUUUUAUGUAAUUUAACCCAUUAAUAUUUUGUCCUUUUAGGGUUUCUCAAGGGUUUAGCAUUACUUUUAUAUUGUAAAAAAAAGGUUCAUCUAAAAAUAUAGAAGCCAAAUACCGGUGAUUACUGUAAAA
Molecule: RNA transcript, 8487 nt
Organism: Bicyclus anynana (squinting bush brown)
Lineage: Eukaryota; Metazoa; Arthropoda; Insecta; Lepidoptera; Nymphalidae
Exons: 2
Source: RefSeq, a predicted model, not a curated record